GCUUAACACAUGCAAGUCGAACGGAAAGGCCCUGCUUUUGUGGGGUGCUCGAGUGGCGAACGGGUGAGUAACACGUGAGUAACCUGCCCUUGACUUUGGGAUAACUUCAGGAAACUGGGGCUAAUACCGGAUAGGAGCUCCUGCUGCAUGGUGGGGGUUGGAAAGUUUCGGCGGUUGGGGAUGGACUCGCGGCUUAUCAGCUUGUUGGUGGGGUAGUGGCUUACCAAGGCUUUGACGGGUAGCCGGCCUGAGAGGGUGACCGGCCACAUUGGGACUGAGAUACGGCCCAGACUCCUACGGGAGGCAGCAGUGGGGAAUAUUGCACAAUGGGCGGAAGCCUGAUGCAGCAACGCCGCGUGCGGGAUGACGGCCUUCGGGUUGUAAACCGCUUUCGCCUGUGACGAAGCGUGAGUGACGGUAAUGGGUAAAGAAGCACCGGCUAACUACGUGCCAGCAGCCGCGGUGAUACGUAGGGUGCGAGCGUUGUCCGGAUUUAUUGGGCGUAAAGGGCUCGUAGGUGGUUGAUCGCGUCGGAAGUGUAAUCUUGGGGCUUAACCCUGAGCGUGCUUUCGAUACGGGUUGACUUGAGGAAGGUAGGGGAGAAUGGAAUUCCUGGUGGAGCGGUGGAAUGCGCAGAUAUCAGGAGGAACACCAGUGGCGAAGGCGGUUCUCUGGGCCUUUCCUGACGCUGAGGAGCGAAAGCGUGGGGAGCGAACAGGCUUAGAUACCCUGGUAGUCCACGCUGUAAACGGUGGGUACUAGGUGUGGGGUCCAUUCCACGGGUUCCGUGCCGUAGCUAACGCUUUAAGUACCCCGCCUGGGGAGUACGGCCGCAAGGCUAAAACUCAAAGGAAUUGACGGGGCCCCGCACAAGCGGCGGAGCAUGCGGAUUAAUUCGAUGCAACGCGUAGAACCUUACCUGGGUUUGACAUGGAUCGGGAGUGCUCAGAGAUGGGUGUGCCUCUUUUGGGGUCGGUUCACAGGUGGUGCAUGGCUGUCGUCAGCUCGUGUCGUGAGAUGUUGGGUUAAGUCCCGCAACGAGCGCAACCCUUGUUCACUGUUGCCAGCACGUUAUGGUGGGGACUCAGUGGAGACCGCCGGGGUCAACUCGGAGGAAGGUGGGGAUGACGUCAAGUCAUCAUGCCCCUUAUGUCCAGGGCUUCACGCAUGCUACAAUGGCUGGUACAGAGAGUGGCGAGCCUGUGAGGGUGAGCGAAUCUCGGAAAGCCGGUCUCAGUUCGGAUUGGGGUCUGCAACUCGACCUCAUGAAGUCGGAGUCGCUAGUAAUCGCAGAUCAGCAACGCUGCGGUGAAUACGUUCCCGGGGCUUGUACACACCGCCCGUCAAGUCAUGAAAGUUGGUAACACCCGAAGCCGGUGGCCUAACCGUUGUGGGGGGGCCGUCGAAGGUGGGACUGGUGAUUAGGACUAAG
Molecule: ribosomal RNA, 1432 nt
Filed under: uncultured organism
Description: 16S ribosomal RNA
Rfam family: Bacterial small subunit ribosomal RNA
Source: RNAcentral